GACUCGUUUAGCUCAGUUGGUAGAGCAUUUGACUUUUAAUCAAAGGGUCACUGGUUCGAGCCCAGUACGGGUCA
RNAcentral lists this transfer RNA (74 nucleotides) under Streptococcus equi subsp. zooepidemicus ATCC 35246. RNAcentral's name for it is "tRNA-Lys (TTT) (tRNA-Lys-TTT-1-1, tRNA-Lys-TTT-1-2)". It matches the Rfam family "tRNA". Rfam says of the family: Transfer RNA (tRNA) molecules are approximately 80 nucleotides in length. Their secondary structure includes four short double-helical elements and three loops (D, anti-codon, and T loops). Lineage: Bacteria; Bacillati; Bacillota; Bacilli; Lactobacillales; Streptococcaceae. The record is from RNAcentral.